AAAAAAAAACAUCGGAAUCUACUUUUUCGUGGGUGAUAACGUAGGGAAACUUACGCUAAUACCGCAUACGACCUACGGGUGAAAGCAGGGGAUCUUCGGACCUUGCACGAUUGCAUGCGCCGAUGUCGGAUUAGCUCUUUGGCGGGGUAAAGGCCCACCAAGGCGACGAUCCGUAGCUGGUCUGAGAGGGUGAUGAGCCACAUGAGAAGUGAGACAAGGGCGAGAGUCCGACGGGAGGCAGCAGUGGGGAAUAUUGGACAAUGUGAGAAAGCAUGAUCCAGCCAUACCGCGUGGGUGAAGAUUGUUUUUGGAUGGUACAGCC
This 322-nucleotide ribosomal RNA is filed under the name uncultured bacterium. RNAcentral describes it as "partial 16S ribosomal RNA". It matches the Rfam family "Bacterial small subunit ribosomal RNA", at positions 109 to 432 of the family's 1533-position model. The record is from RNAcentral.